This 39653-nucleotide long non-coding RNA is filed under the name Capsicum annuum. RNAcentral's name for it is "long non-coding RNA (CANN_LNC022412)". Lineage: Eukaryota; Viridiplantae; Streptophyta; Magnoliopsida; Solanales; Solanaceae. The record is from RNAcentral.
GGCGGGUUCCUGACUUUCUAUUUCAUCAACCUUUUGCUAUGCUUUCAAUUUCUUCACCCUGUUCUGCAGGCAAUCUCCUGACUUGCUAUUUUUCAAUCUAUUUAACUUUUAAUUUCUUUACCUUGUUGCUUAUUUUUCCAUUUAUUCGCCUUGUGCUUCGGGCAGGCUUCUCACAUCACAUCAAAACUGGAAAUAAAAUUAUCCCAAACAAAAAUUAUUAUAAAUAAAAAUUUCGUUUGCUUGAAAAGUAAAGUUCCAAAAACAAGAAUUAAAUUUUACCAUAGUUUAUCAUCAAAGGACUUUUGUGAAAGUCACUCAUUAUAGGAAUCCAGGAGAAUGACUCAACUAUAAGGUACGUCUGACAGGAAUCAAAGGAAUUAACUCGACUAAAAGGUACAUCUUCUAGGAAUCAAAAAGGAAUGACUCGACUAAAAGGUACGUCUCUUAGGAAUCAAGGGGGAUAACUUGACUAAAAGGUACGUCUUAUAGGAAUAAAAGGGGAUGACUCAACUAAAAGGUACGUCUUAUAGGAAUCAAAGGAGAAUGACUCGACUAAAAGGUAUGCCUUAUAGGAAUCAAAGGGAAUGACUCGACUAAAAGGUACGUCUUCUAGGGGUCAAGGGUAAUGACUCGACUAAAAGGAAUGACUCGACUAAAAGGUAUGCCUUAUAGGAAUCAAAGGGAAUGACUCGACUAAAAGGUACGUCUUCUAGGGGUCAAGGGUAAUGACUCGACUAAAAGGUACGUCUUAUAGGAAUCAAGGGAGAUGACUCGACUAAAAGGUACAUCUUCUAGGGGUCAAGGGGAAUGACUCAGCUAAAAGACACGUCUUAUAGGAAUCAUGGGAGAUGACUCAACUAAAAGGUACGUCUUAUAGGAAUCAAUGGUAAUGACUUGACUAAAAGGUAUGUCUUCUAGGGGUCGAGCGGAAAUACUUGACUAAAAGGUACGUCUUCUAGGGGUCAAGGGGAAAGACUCCAUUAAAAGGUAUGUCUUCUAGGGGUCAAGGGGAAUGACUCGACUAAAAGGUACAUCUUCUAGGAGUGAAGGUUCAAUUUAAUAAGUGUAUCACCUAGCAAAUAAAAACUGAAAUCCCUGGACAAGAAAGUGUGUCUCCGAGGGAUAUAGGAUGAUGAUUUUUUACCAUGACUUGAUUAUUAAACCUGUGCAACAACAUUGUUUCCUCCAUUUGUAGGAGUGAGGCAUUGCAGCCCUUGAUAUUUAUGUUCCAAAGUCCUUGCUUUGAAGGUAAUAUGUUUUCUAUUUCAUCAAAGAAAACUUGUGAGUUAAAAAAAACAUGGUGGCUGGCUUGUGGCUUUAGCUUUCGCAGAAAUUGCUCUUGCCCCAGUCACAUUUAGCCUUGCUUCCAACCAUUAGCAUAUGUCAUUGACUUGUUGCAUCAAUGAUCCAAACUCAUAUUAGGAAGAGUGACUCUGCCACAAACACAGUAUCUCUGCUUUGUCAUGUUUCUCAGUUAAACCCUUUGAACUAUGGUAUUUUCGUGGGUUCCCAUACUUAUCUAUUUGACAAAACUUUCUGCAUGCCUUCUUUUGGCUCACAAUUAUGUCUCUUUCAUGUGCUAGCUUUUUUCUUGUUUUGUGCAAUUAAAGAAGCUGGAAGCCAGUUUUAAAAUCUUUUCUCACUUGUUUUUUAUACAGACUUGGCUAAAAAAAAAGAACGAUAAUUUUUGUCUAGAUAACUGACUCAAGAAAGAUAAAAUAAAGAUAAAGAGAAGAAACAAAAGACAAUAAAUGUCCCCUUUUGAAACAAAGAAAUGAAAAAUUCAUCUAAAAAUGACAGUCAACACUAAUGAUUAUGCCACGCAUUUGGGAUUAAGCAACUUGAUCUUUUCAUCCAAACUUUCUACCCAUAGUUGUCGAGUUAAUGGUCUUGAAAUUCUGUUGCUUCCUUAGGUCAAUUGCAUUUAAGACCCCAUUUGGAAAGUGGAGCCUUGAAGUAUUUUUGCCAAUAAGCUUCUCUCCUUUUCUUUUCCUCAGCUCACCAUUGCCUUAUGGUAUCUGUAAGGGUUUUUCACUAAUGAGACUCCCUUAUCUUCAUUUUCCUAAAAUCACAGUUGUCUUACGGUGCCCGUGAUAGUUUUUACUGAUAAGACUCUCUCAUUUUUAUCUCUCUCAACUUAUCAUCGUCUUACGAUGCCCAUGAGGGUUUUCACCAAUAAGACUCUCUCAUUUUAUUUCUCUCCUAAUUCCAUGAGGAAGACAAGUAAUUCCCAAAAUGCGUCAUCACAUUCAUUGCAUUCGUAGCCUUAACAUUCUCAAAGAUUGAUCUGAAGGUCUUUCUUUGGUUGUAACUUGACUUUUGGAUUGGGUUGGAAAGAAAGGAUGGUAUGGGGCCCAAACGAUACUUGAAGUUGGGUGGGAUUUACAACUUUUGGAAUUGACUCAAACAAUGAGGAUCAACUCAUGCCCCAGUUUUUUUGACUGGGCAAUACUAAAUUGUUUAUUUGGUUGGAACGAGCUCAGAGUAGGGAAGCCUACGUAUCUCACUCCCGAGAGAGGAGAAUCAGGUCACGCCUAGUUUUGGCAACUUAUUAUUUUGCUUGACUCUAAUUUUAUUUUCUUUUGUUGACUCUUUUAUUGACUUUUUUUUCUUUUUUGGGACCUUCUGACUCUAUUUUUUUUCUCGACCCUCUUUUCUUUUCCUUUUUUUGGACAUAUUUUUUCUUUCAUUUUUUUUUGAAACUUUCUGACUCUAUUAUUUUGCUCGACACUUUUGUUUUGAGCUUUGCUGACUCUAUCUUGAUUCCAAAAUAGGGGUAUGAAAGAAAAUAGGACUAAAGCUCAAAUGGGGUAAACAAAGGAUGACAUGAUAUUUGGAUAACAGAAUGAAAUGCCUUCAUCAUAUCAAUCCUUGAAAAUACAAGUACAUAUCAUGCAAUAUGAAAGUGAGAGAUGAAGAUCAUUUGUGAUAUUUUACAGCACUAAUUUUAACUGAGACUGUGCGUCGCUACUUCUUCUGCAAACUCCAUCUUUGUUGUACAUUCCACAUGCUUUCGUGGAGAUAAUUUUUCUAUUCCUUUUGAUGUAGGAUCACACAUCCACUAUUUGACCUAAUUGAGACAUGUCUUUCAAAUGUUGACCAAGUUAUUCUCACGAUUCUCAAAAUAAUUCCCUUAAUUUUCAAAGAAGGCUUCAACUUGAUCACCAAAUGCCCCAGCACUCUAUCUAUUUUCUCAUACGCUAUCUAUUUCUAAAUUUAACCCACUGAUUCAAUGCUCAUGCUUAAACUGGAUUUUAAGAUCUGUCUGAAAAUUUCACUACCAUGUCAUAUCACUAGAGUCAACAUAAAAUGUACUGUGUAAAAAAAACAAACAAACAACACAUAUUUGAAACACAAAGGAAAAUGGGACACUUCAUUUAGUUAAAACAAAAAAUAGAAGGGUUUGAACAUAAACGACAAAAAGAAAAAAAGAAGAUAGAUCCCAAACUACAACCCUAAGAUAAUUUGGAUAACAGAAAAUAAAACAAAACAAACUACCAGACCUCUUCCUAGUAGGGAGAGGGGUGACUUCUCAAUUGCGCAGCCUGACAUCUUAGCCACUGGUUUGCGUAUCAUCAUGACUAGAGUUUUCCUCACUGUCAAUGCUCUGCACCAUAAUUGAUCCAUCUUGAAUCAUCUUUUCAAUUUCUCUUUUCAAAUCUCGACAAUCUUCAAUACUAUGACCCUGAGCAUCAGAAUGAUACGCACAUUGUGCAUUAGGAUCAAAAUUUCUUGAAUGCCGAUUAAGAGUGCACCCAAAGAGAGGAGUGAGCAUGCCCUAUUUUACCAAUAUCUGAAAUAAACUGGCAUAUGACUCUCCAAUUGGUUUGAAGCUAUCUCUCGACUUCUGCCUCAUUUCAUUGUUUGGCUUCGAUCGAAAAUCAGGCUUAGAAGGGUUUGGUAUGUUUGUGGAGUUAGAGGACGACUCUGAGGAGUUGGUGCGUUCCACUGUGGGUAACAUAUGGUUGUGCGUUAUAUACUGGAUACAGAGGUGGAGAAGCAGAGUAUAAUGAAUUUUGGGAGUGAUUAUGUGGAGCUUGGGCAUGAACUUGGGUUUGAGCCUGAGAGUAAUGAUGGUGUGGUCCUCUUGCCCAUGCCUAUUGUCCAACUACAAUGGAAGAUGCAUAUUCCUCAUACUUCUUCCCUUUGACACUUUACGAACCUUUUUGAAUUACUUGAGUAGUCGCUUUCAAUGUUGCAAAACUCACAAUGUGACCGGUCUUAAUUCCAUCCUCCACCAUCUCUCCCAUUUUGAGGACCUCAAUAAAUGGCUUACCUAAUGCAGGUAACAAGUGUUGAUAAUAUGUUUCAUCCUAUGCUUGAAUAGACACCUCUACUAUCUUACUUUCUUUCAUUGGCGGUUUCACCCUAGCAGCUUGCUCACACCAUCUAAUCGCAUACUCUCUGAAAGUUUCAGUAUUCUUUUUCUUCAUAUUAGUUAAGGAUUUCUCAUCAGGAAUCAACUCCACAUUGUAUUGAAAUUGUUGCACAAAUUCAUUAGCUAGGUCAUCCCAACUAAUCCACUUGUCGAUGUCUUGGUCAACAAACCAUUCUGAAGCUAGGCCUGAAAGACUCUCACCGAAAUAUGCCAUGAGUAAUUCUUCCUUCCCCUAGCACCCCUUAGUUGGUUGCAAUAAUGUCUCAAAUGUGCUACAGGAUCGCCAUGUCCAUCAUACUUCUCAAACUUCAGCAUUUUAAAACCAAAAGGAAGAUGAACCCCUAGAAACAUGCACAGAUCUUUAUAUGAGACACCUUUGUACCCCCCAAGUCCCUGGAGGUAUUUUAUAGCCAAAUCCAUACUUCUCAAUUUUCUAGUCAUUUCCUUUUGUUCUUCUGUUAUAUUAGGCUUCUCAGUGUUAAGAGGAAAUUCAGGCGGGUGAGUAUAGCCAUAAGGAUUAGUCAACUUAAAUUUGGGAUCAAUAGCAUGAUGUUGAUCAGCAAAAAUAUUCAAUGCAGGCUCUCUCGCAGAGUGAGGAGGAUCAACUUAUGGAUAAACCUCAAAAGUAGGAGCUUCGGGUGGGGGUGGUGCUGCAAAACCAUGAACAGUGGGUGAAGCCAAGCAUGUGGUAGCUUUGUGUUGAGGAGUAAGGAAAUGAAUAUUAGAAGUGUUUGGAUAGUGUUGCCCCGGAGCAGGUCCUGAUGCAUGUUGAAGUGUGUCAACAAAAAUAGAAAACUGUGUAUGUGACACUGGAGGAAAGCUAGAAAGAUAUUCCAGAUUAUCAGUGAGAAAUGGAGGAGGUGGCAACCCAUUAGCCCAAGCUCGAUGCAUUUCUAUCAUUUGUUGCCUUAAUUUUUGAAUCUCUUCAUUAGCUUCUAAAUUCUUAUUGCCCGAACUCCCUAUCUGAUCAGUGACAACAAACUCGAUAUCCUUGUUGGCCAUAACUUUCUCUGUGACUUGGUACAAUAUGGAGGACCAGCCAAAAUGCCACAAACCAACCACCUUAAACUAACUGAACAAGAGAUAGCAAAUGCGUUAGAAUUCAACACUUUUUUUUUGCAAAACCUUUUUUUUUUAAAAGGUCACCGAACCCAAGAGGGGCGCCUAUGUAUCUCACUCCCGAGAGAAGAUAAUCAGGUGUGCAUAGUUCGUGAAGUCCUGCCAAAAUGGACAGUUAAUUCUUUUUCCUUUUCUUUUCUUUUUGAGAAACUUCAAAAAUAACAAAUUGUCAAAAGAAUUGACGAAAAUCUUUUUGCAUUUUUCAGGUUUAAACUCCCUAUACAAAACGAAACCUAUGAUUACCAAAGAAAAAUCUUUUUGAGUUUUCAAUUUUUGAUUUUCAUACGAAAAUGAGAUUUGAAGCUAUUAACAAAAAAUCUUUUUGUGAUUUUCUUUUAAAAAUGUAUAGGAAACACCGACUUUAAAGGAAGAGUGAAGAAAAUAUUUUUUUUUUUGGAUUUUUCAAAUAAGAUCCCCGAACCCACAAUAGGCUGCCUACGUAUCUCACUCCCGAGAAAGGAGAAUCAGGGGUACAUAGUUCGUCCAGAUAGGACAAUUAAGGAUUAAAUAACAAACUAUACCCUGACUUGAGAGACACGACCAAAGACAGACGAUGAACAAUGUAAAUAGAAUCUUUUUCUUUCUAAGUUUUCAGUUUGACACGUAAAAUAAAAAUGACAACAACAAGUAUGAAAGGAAAAUCUUUUUGAUAUUUUUCCUAUAUGAAAUGAACAAAAUUUCUACCAUCUUUUUGCAUUUUCUUUUAUAAAAACCUCCUAUUGUAAAAAAAAAACUUUUUGGGGUUUUCGAAUUGUGAAUGCUUGCUAAAGGAAACAAAAAGAAAAUCUUUUUGAUGUUUUUUUAUUUUUGAAAAAUGAGUGCAAAAAGUAAAAAUCUUUUUUUUUUUGAAUUCUGAAUUGUGGAAAACAAAAGUCAUAAAGAACUGUAAAAACUACGAAACACUUUUUUGAUUCACCUUUUUCUUUUUUUUCCUUUUUUUGAUUUUUCCAUGCCUACACACCCUACUUCUGACACAAGUUUUCCCCAAAUCAGUCCAUCAUGACCACGUUGCCCUCAGAUAUGCAAAAUUUAGCACGUAGGGAUGCUUUAGAGGUGAGUUUCCUACGAAGGACCAAGUGGGCCCCACUAAGUAUCAAUGUGAUGCACAUAAGCAUGACCUAAAGGCUGACCUACCUCGGGGUUCACUAACAAGGUUAUUAGGGGGAGCGUAUGGUCGAUAGUGGCUGCGACAACUUUCCACCCACUCCAUACGUCCGACGGCUCGCCCUCCUAAAAUAAGAGCGACUCAACUAGAGUUCGUAUACACGAUGUGCACUUUGAGACUUGUUGUAGAAAGAAUUGACUCGGGUAAUGCAAAUAAUGCCAGAUAUAAAACGGUAACACAUAAAGAAAAACCAUAAAUAAAGAGCACAUAGACACUCAACAAUGAUAAAAUAAAUACAAACGAUAAUACGAACAAUGUCUAUACACCCCUAAUGCCAAACUAAUCCGAUAAAACUCCCAAAAAUAAGCUCGAAUUCUGAAAAAUCCCCAGCAGAGUCGCCAGAGCUGUCACACCCCUUAUUUUUAACAAAUCAGAUAUUGUUUUUGAGGUUUCAAAAGGGUUUUUUUAUUGGGUGACAAAAGAUGAUUUUUUGUUUAGAAAAAAAGGAUUGUUUUCAUUUAAACUCAGAGUCGCCACCUGGCAUAAUUCGGGUGUGCCAAGUCACCCGUGGAUAUCCUUUUUCAAAAUAAUUUUGACUCUAUAAAACUGAUCCGUGAACAGAGAUUCUGGUUAACAAAUUCUGUUGACCGAGGGGAAGGUGUUAGGCACCCCUCAAUCCCAUGGUUUGACCACGAUCGCUUGGUAGAAAAUAUCGGCUAAUUUGACACUAAGAAUGUAUAAACCACACAAAACACAUAAACAAGCAUCCAAACACACGAAACAAAAUAAAUCCAAGGUAUAGUGUUUAGUCCAAUUAUACAGUCCAAAAUAAAUAAAAUGCAAAAAUAAAUCCUAUCUAACCUACACUAAUCCUAACUAUGCUCCCGUGCUUUACCCGAGACCUCAGGCCUUCAUUACGAAUGUCUUCCACCAACACAAUACGUCGGUGCAUUCCUCAGUGAAUAAAUACAAAUGUCCUCGGGGCAUUCCCCGGCUAAAUGAAUACAAUUGAUCCAAAUGCGGUAAACAAAACCACUCAACACAUAUUUCAAACAUUCCAUCAAUCCACAAUCCCUAAACUUGCCUACCCAGAUUACCAUUUGCCCAUCAACUCUCGAUUUAUCGUAAUUCUAUCACAUCCAACAUCAUCAACGUAGAAAAAUUAAAACAAGUUCUUUAUCAAGAUAAACCCUUCCCCAAAUUUGAUUUAAUCCACAAAUUUUCACGUUAAAAUAAUUAUUCACCCAUAUCAACAUCAAAGUUCCACCAUGGUAGUCUAUUCAAUCACCAAAUAUUCACAAAAAGGGGAACUAAACAUAAUAAUCAACCCACAAUCACAACAUCAAUCACAUAUAAUGAAAUAAAAAUGACAAGAGAUAGAAUUAGACCUCGAUUCCGCUUUCAAAUAAGUAUUCUUUCAUCAAACGGGAUAGAGUCCGCAUCGGAACCUUAACUCGAAACUCAAUCACGUCAAACGGGUUAGGAGUUUCGCCAACAAACGACGUUGUAGUCAUAGGGAUGGACUGUUACGGCUUCAAAUGGAGCUCCGACAAGCCUCAACAAUGACGAACCCGAUGGGGUUGAGCAGAAUUGGGUCACGGGACUUGGUGCUAGUUAUUAGAACUGGUAGUCUAGGCCAAAAUCUGGUGGAUUUUGACGUAUUCCAGCGAGAGUUUGCCGAAAAAACUAUUCACCAUUGCUCUUUUCUCUCUCGACGCACCUCUCUCUCUAUCUGGUUUCUCUACUUAUUGGUCUUCUCUCUCCUUGCCUUUGGGUGCUUGUUUGCUUUAAUGGAGUGUAUGUAAAUGUGUGUGUAUCAUCGUGAGAGGGUGUGUGGUUCUGUGUGUAAUUCCAAGAAUAAGAAAGGGAAAGAUUAUAGAAUCCCCCCCUGGUGAGUGUGUAUGUAUCUAUUUAUAUAGUGAUGAAUGGGGGGUGAAUUCUGUUUUGUACAGCUGUCUAUUUUUUGUGUAUAUUCUUUUAUGAUGGAUAAAAAAAAAUGUGUGUAAAGGUAGGUGGAGACCACGUGGGUAGGUUGUUAGGAUGAGGUAUAAAGUUGGUUAGGAUAGCAUUAAAACAAAAAUAGAAUUUGUUAGAGAUUAUGUUAAGGGUUGUUAUUUUUUAUAUUUUUGUAGGGUAUAAUCACAUGGGUGAGGGUAUAUGGUAAGAUGAGGGUAAAAAUGGAUAAAAAUAUUUUUGGGGAGGGACAAAAUUAGGUGUCUACAGCUAUGGAGAAGCUCAAACGGUGAAGAUAAGAAUAAAUAUGGAAAAUGACCUGAAGGGCCAUUACAAUUUAAAAUUUACUAAAGUAAAAGGUACAUGCCAUGGUAAACUUGGAGUUUGCUAGAAUAAAAGUUCAUAAAUUGAUAUGAACGAUUGUGACAUCCCAAAGAUGUGCAUACUGAGUAUUGAACAUAUGUUGAAGAAUUAGAAAAUUCUUCAUUACUUUUAAUGUUGCCUCUUCUCAUGAUAAGUUGGUUGGACCAACUAAUUUUGGGAUUAGAUUUCUUAAAAUCUGAAAAGUAUAAAAGGUGAAUAAGGGUCCGUUCACCUAUCAUGUGAUAUAUUGAAAAGAUAUGCAUCAAUAAGAUGAUCACAUGUACAUUUAUUAUCAACCUACAGUUUGAAAUUCAUAAAGUUGCACAGUAAAAUUAAGUUAAGAGCAUAACUUUCAGACUGUGUAAUCAAGAUAAUUCUUCUUGAUGAUGAUGGUUUAGCAUUGAAUACCUUCGAUAAAUAGCUAAACCAUUAUAAAGUAAUGUAUCAUAAGAUUUUUAGCUUUCAAUACAAUGUAAGUAAAUUAAAUAUAAUAAUGUAUUAGUAAUCACAAAUAACUAUAAUGUGUCAUGAACUGUAGUGUAUCAUGAACUCAAUGUUAUUAAAUGAGAUACUUGUUAUCAUUAUACAAUAUAUCAUAAGUUUUCACAUAAUAGGAAAACUUAUGAUAUUUGUUAUCAUAAGUUAUUAAAUGACGUAUAUUAUGCAAUUUAAAUGGCAAUUUCUUUAAUUAAGUGCAUUAAUUGCUAAAUUGUAGGCUUAAUAUUGUUUCUUUCCAUUUUUAACCACAAUUAAAGAUUUUUUAAUGUAUCAUAAACUAAUGUAUAAUGACGUUAACUAAUGUAUCAUAUCCGAUAUUUUAUGUAAUUAUUAUAAAAGUAGGGAGAGAGGGUAAUUAGGUAGUAAAGUGUUGGGGUUUAUGUUGUUUAUACAAUUUUUUCAGUUUUUGUAUAGUUAACGGGCCUACUUGUGCAAUGGCAAAAUUAAAGGUCAUAGUUAUAAUGUGUCUUUUUUUAUUAGGUGACAACAUUUGAGUGGCUUACUAAUCCACGUAGGAACGAUUGAGUUUUACGCCUGUAAGUUGCAGAAUUGGAGUGUUUUUUGUUUCAACUUUUAUAUAGUUAAAGGGUUUUUUUGUGCACUGACAAAGUUAAAGGGCAUUGUUAUAAUUUGGUAUCAAGUUAAAGGUCCUGUUUAUGUAUUGUACUUUUUUUGCCACAGGAAAAAUUAGAUGAAUAUCUAGUUGAUAUUCAGUAUCUGUAUCAAUGCUCGAUUAUAUCUGAAUUAUGCAUUGCAUUGCAAGAGCGCUCAUUCUCGAGGCAAUACUCUCAAUACAAAUUUAUUUGGCUAUCAUUAACACAUUUGAAACAUCAUUGCUCCAUUUGAUCGAUAUUCAGGUAUCUGUAUUAAAACUCGAUUAUAUCCGAAUCAUGCAUUGCAUUGCAAGGGCGCUCAUCCUCAAGGCAACACUCCCAAUAAAAAUUUCUUUGGCUAUGAUUAACACAUUUUAAACGAAUGAUGAGAUACGUAAAGGCUGAGAUAGAGGCAAAGCCAUGAUUUCAAUUAAGGGGUUCAAUAUUUAAAGAAAACCUAGUCGAACAGGGGUUUGACACUUACUAUAGAUGCAUAAAAAAUAAAUUUAAUCAUGUAUAAAUAGUAUAUUUUUCCAUCGAAAAAGAUUCGAAUGAACCCCCUAGCUGAAGGCUGGCUUCGUCCCAGUGUGAGGGUUGAUGGUGAUAGGUUUGAGGAGAUCGAGAGAUCGAGGUAGACUAACAAAAAAAUUGGAGAUACAUAAUUAGACAGAAUAUGACACAUCUUCAACUCACUGAUCGAGGACAUUGUCACACCCCUUUUUCAACUCCAAAAAGAAUUAUUUUUAUGGGUUGCGAAAGGAUUUUCAUUAUUAAAGUGACAAAAUGAAGAUAAUUUGUUUUGAAAAGGACCUUUUACAUUCAAAACUCAGAGUCGCCACUUGGCAUAAUCUGGUGUGCCAAGUCACCAUUGGAAAAUCCUUUUCAAAAUCAUUUGACUCUUUAAACUAGUUUGCGAACAGAGAUUCCAGCCAAGGAAUUCUGUUGACCGAGGGGAAGAUGUUAGGCACCCCUCGAUCCCGUGGUUCGACCAUGGUCGCUUGGUGGAGCGUAUCGACUAAUUUUGACACUACGAAUGUACAAACCACACAAAACAUGUAAAACAAUCUAACAAACAAACAAAACAAAACAAAAAAAUGAAUCAAAAGUACAGUGUCUAGUCCAAUUUAUACAGUCCAAAAUAGAAAAAUGCAAAAAUAAAUCCUAUCUAACCUACACUAAUACUAACUACGCUCCUGUGCUUUACCCGACACCUCAGGCCUUCCUCACGAACGUCUUCCUCCAACAUAGCACGUCGGGGCAUUCCCCAGUGAAUAAAUACAUUGUGUCUCGGGGCAUAUUCCUGGCUAAAUAAAUACAUUUGAAUUAAACACGAUAAACUAGAAACCAAACAUUCACACACACAUUAAACAUUCAAAACAUUUAAUAAACACAUCACUCCGAAGUUUUGCCUACCCAAACCGACAUUUGCCUAUCCAUUUCAACAUAUCAUAAUUCUAUCACAUUCCAACAAUAUUCAUGCUCAUUAUGAAUUAAACAAAACAACAAUAAACCAAAGUUAAUCUAAACUCAACUUUUUAUCAAUUUCUCAAUUCCAUCCCCAAAUAAUCAAUUUUAAUUCUCAAACGAGAUACCAUUUCACCAAACCAUAAUCAAGCAAACCAAUCACGAGUCAAAAUAAACACGCAUUCAUCACCAACAAGGACCAAAUAACAUGUAAUAUUCAAUCCAACACCAAAUAUAAUAAACAAUGAAAUAAAAAGAGAAAGAGAGUAAAAUUGGACCCCAAUUUGAAGCUUUCAAACUAAAUGUUAUUCGAAUAAACCGCACCCAAGAACCUCAAGCCAAACCUUAACACCAACAAUCCAACUCGAUAAUGUGAAAUAAUGACCCGUUCAUCGUCACUUUUCACCGGCACUGUUCACCAACACUGUUCACACCGUUAUUGUUCACUUUGUUACUGUUCACUCCGUUAUUGUUCACGUUGUUACUGUUCACUCCAUUGUUGUUCACGUUGUUACUAUUCACUCCAUUACUGUUCACGCUAUUAUUGUUCACCGGCACUGUUUACGUCGGAUUCCCAUUGUCCAGACCCUUUUUCUCUCUUUAUUUUUUUCUCUCGCGCGAUUCUCUCUUUCUCUCCCUCAUUGUUUUUUUGUUCUUGUGAGGAAGAUGAUUUGGUGAUUGUUGUUAUUGUGGAGAAGAAGAUGAUGAAAGAAUGAGUCUCCCUAUUUUCCCCUUUUAGAAUUUUCUUUUUAUAUUUUUUAUUUAAUUUUUCUUUUUCUUUAUUUAUUAUCCUAUGUGGAAGCAUAUAAUUGGUGGCUUGUGGGAAUAAGUGUGUGGCAUAUGGAAAAGUUAGUGUGGCAUGUGGAAAGAUGAGGGUGGCGUGUGGAAAAAUGAGUGGGGCGUGUGUCUUUUGCAUGUAUCCAAUGAGAAAUGGAAAGUGAAGUGUUGAGGUGGCAUAGUGAGGUGAUAAAGAUGCUAUGUAUUUAAUUAUUUUCAAUUUUUUUGGGGGGGGAUAAAUUAUCAAUUAAACAAAAGUAUGGUAGGGUGAAUAAGAUAAAAUAAAAAAAAUUAAAUUAAAAAAAUAAAAUAAAAAUAAUCAAAAUAUUUAUGGGAAAGGACAAAAUUACGUGUCUACAUCAUGCCCCCUUUGGAUGUAAACACAUGGUGUUUUCAUACGAAGCAGUAGACAACGAGACAGAAUUUUAUCCUGACCUUUAUUCAAAAGCACGGAGCACGAGGAAGGAGGGAAACCAGGUCAUGACUUAGGACAUCCUACCUACCCAAUUUAUGAGGGAAUCGAGUGACAGUUAUCUCAAAGGAUUGGAAGGAGAUGGACUAUGCCGAGUUAGAGAGUCGAGUGAGGUUCCAUCGAGGUUUCGGUCCGCGGCUCUGUUAUUACAUCAAAAAUGAAAAUUACAAGUUAAAAACAUAAAUGAAAUUACAAAAUCCUAUGUACGCAGCUUCUGUUGGACUCUUGACUUGAGUUUCAUCACCCUAUUCUUUAGGCGGGCUCCUGAUUUGAAAUUCCUUCAACUUGUUGCUUGGUUUUCAAUUUCAUCACCUGUUCUCCAGGUGGGCUCCUGACUUGAUAUUUUUGAUCUGUUGACUUUCAUUUUCUUCACUUUGUUACUUGACUUUCAACUUCUUCACCUUGUUGCUUGACUUUCAAUUUCUUCUCCUUGCUGCUUGACUUUUCAUUUAUUCUCACUGUGCUUCAGGCGGGCUCCUGAAAUCACAUUAAAACUAGAAAUAAAAUUAUCCCAAAUAAAAUUAUUGUAAAGAGAAAAUCGUUUGCCAAAAAAGUAAAGUUCCAAAACAGAUAUUAAAUUUUAUUUUUUUGCCCCAAUUUACCAUCAGAAGAUUUUUGAGAAAGUUAGAUCAUACCUACUUGCAUGUUGCAAUAAUGAAUCAAGACUCUGACCAAGAAAUGCAUUUCUUGAGAGUAAAAUUGAUUGACCAAGACUAGGAAGUGCGUUUCCUAAGAAUUAAAGUGAGGAAUUCUGACUAGAAAGUGCGUCAUCUAGAGAUAGAAUUUUAAAUUAAAAAGUGUGUCACCUGACAAAUGAAAACUAACAAGGAAGUGUGUCUCAUAAUGAUUAAGUGCAAUGACUCGACUAGAAAGUACAUUUUCUAGAAAUCAAGGAGAAUAACUCGACUAAAAGGUAUGUCUUAUAGGAAUCAAAAGAAAUAACUCGACUAAAAGGUACGUCUUAUAGGAAUCAAAGGGAGAUGGCUCGACUAAAAGGUACGUCUUAUAGGAAUCAAGAGGGAUGACUCGACUAAAAGGUAUGCCUUAUAGGAAUCAAGGGAUAUGACUCGACUAAAAGUUACGUCUUCUAGAGGUCAAGGGGAAUGACUCAACUAAAAAGUAUGUCUUAUAGAAAUCAAAGGGAGAUGACUCAACUAAGAGGUACGUCUUAUAGGAAUCAAGAGGGAUGACUCGACUAAAAGGUACGUCUUAUAGGAAUCAAGGGAGAUUAUUCGACUAAAAGGUACGUCUUACAGGAAUCAAAGGGAGAUGACCGACUAAAAGGUAUGUCUUAUAGAAAUCCAGGGAAAUAACUCGACUAAAAGGUACGCCUUGUAAGAAUCAAGGAGGAUGACUCGACUAAAAGGUGUGUCUUCUAGGGGUCAAGGGGGAUGACUCGACUAAAAGGUACGCCUUAUAGGAAUCAAGGGGGAUAACUCGACCAAAAGGUACAUCUUCUAGGAAUCAAGGGAGAUGAGUCGACUAAAAGGUACGUCUUAUAGGAAUCAAAGAGAGAUGACUCGACUAAAAGGUACGUCUUAUAGGAAUCCAGGGAAAUGACUUGACUAAAAGGUAUGCCUUGUAGGAAUCAAGGGGGAUGACUCGACUAAAAGGUACGUCUUCUAGGGGUCAAGGGAAUGAAUCAACUAAAAGAAAUGCCUUAUAGGAAUCAACAGGGAUGACUCGACUAAAAGGUACGUUUUCUAGGAAUCAAAGGGGAUGACUCGACUAAAAGGUACGCCUUAUAGGAAUAAGGGGGAUGAAUCGACUAAAAGGUACGUCUUAUAAGAAUCAAGGGGGAUGACUUGACUAAAAGGUACGUAUUCUAAGAGUCAAAGGGAAUGACUCGACUAGAAGGUACGUCUUCUAGGAUUCAAGGGGGAUGAAUCAACUAAAAGGUACGUCUUAUAGAAAUCAAGGGGGAUGACUCGACUAAAAGGUACGUCUUAUAAGAAUCAAGGGGGAUGACUUGACUAAAAGGUACGUAUUCUAAGAGUCAAAGGGAAUGACUCGAAUAGAAGGUACGUCUUCUAGGAGUGCAGGUUCAAUUUAAGAAGUGCAUCACCCAGCAAAUGAAAACUAAAAUCCCUGGACAGGAAAGUGUGUCUCCGAGGGAUAUAAGAUGAUGAAUUUUUACCAUGAUUUAAUUAUCAAACAAGUGCAGCAACAUUGCUUCCUGCAUUUGUAAAAGCGAGAAAUUAGGGGCCUUGAUGUUUAGGCUUUGAAAUCCUUGAUUUAAAGGUAACAUGUGUUCCUGUUUCAUCAAAUAAAACUUGUGAGUUUAAAACAUGGUGGUUGAUUUGUGUCUUUAGCUUUCGUGGCGAUCACUCUUGCCCUCGACACAUUUAACCUUGCUUCCAACCAUUAGCAUAUAUCAUUGACUUGCUGAAUCAUUGACCCGAGCUCAGCUUAUUAAGAGUGACUAAAACAAACACAGUAUCUCUGCUUUGCCAUGCUUCUCAGAUAGACCCUUUGAACCUUGGUAUUUCCAUGAGUUCCCUGACUUCUCUGUUGACAAAACUUUCUGCAUUCCCUCUUUUGGCUCACAAUCAUGUCUCUUUCAUGUGCUAGCUUUUGUCUUACUUUGUCCAAUUAAAGAAGCUGGUAGCUAGUUUUAAAAUCUUUUCUCACUUCUUUUGACACGGACUAGACUUAAAGACGAGAAAAAUAAUGACAAUGGUUAAUAUUUGGAUAAUUGACUCAAUAAAAUAAAAAUAAAAAAUAAAUAAAAGACAAUGAAUGUCCUUAUUUGAAACAAACAAGUAAAAAUUUAUCUAAAAAUGACAGUCAACUCUAAUGAUUAUGCCAUGAAUUUUGGAUUAAGUUGCCUGAUCUUUUCAUCCAAAUUUUCUGCCAAUUGUUCUUGAGUUAACUGGGCUUGAAACUGAGUUGUUUCCUUAGAUCAACUGCAUUUAUGACCCCAUUCGGCUAGUGGCGCGUUGAAGGGUUUUCGCCAAAAAGCUUCUCUUAUUUUUUUUUAUCACCUCACCAUUGCCUUAUGGUAUCCGAGAGGAUUUUUCACCAAUAAGAUUCUCUUAUUUUCAUUUCUCUUAACUCACAGUCGUCUUACAGUGCCUGUAAGGGUUUUCACCGACAAGACUCUCUCAUUUUAAUCUCUCUCAACUUACCAUCAUCUUACGGUGCCCGUGAGGGUUUUCACUAAUAAGAUGCUCUCAUUUUUAUUUCUCUCCUAAUUUCAUGAGGAAGAUGAGUAGUUCCCAAUGUUAUCAUAUCCAUAGCAUGCUUAGCCUUAACAUUCUCAAAAAUUGAUCCGAAGGUCUUUCUUUGGUUGUAACUUGGCUUUUGGAUAGGGUUGGAAAGAAAGGAUGACAUGGGGCCCAAACGAUACUAAAAGUGGGGUAAGACUUACAACUUUUAGAAUCAACUCAAACAAUGAGGAUUAACUCAUGCCCCAGUUUCUUUUGACUGGGAAAUUCUAAAUUUUAUUUGGUUGGACCUAGCCCAGAGUAGGGCAGCCUACGUAUCUCACCCCCAAAAGAGGAGAAUCAGGUCACGCGUAGUUCCGGCGGCUUGUUCUUUUGCUUGAUUCUGAUUUUUUCUUUUUUUUUUCUUUUGUUGACUCUUUUAUUGACUUUUUUUGUCUUUUUGGGACCUUCUGACUCUAUUUUUUCUUGACGCACUUUUCUUUUCCUUCUUUUGGACACAUUUUUUCUCUCAUUUCUUUUUGAAACUUUCUGACUCUAUUGUUUUACUCGAAACUUUUCUUUUGAGCUUUACUGACCCUAUCUUGAUUCCAAAAGAGGGGUAUGAAAGAAAAUCAGACUAAAGCUCAAAUGGGGUUAACAAAGGAUGACACGAUGUUUGGAUAGCAGAAUGAAAUGCCUUCGUCAUAUCAAUUCUUGAAAAUGCAAGUACAUAUCAUGCAAUAUGAAAGUAAGAGAUGAAGAUCAUUUGUGAUUUUUUUACAAUCAAUUCUUGAAAAUGCAAGUACAUAUCAUGCAAUAUGAAAGUAAGAGAUAAAGAUCAUUUGUAAUUUUUUUACAACACUAUUUUUAACUGAGACUGUGCGUCGCUACUUCUUCUGCAAACUCCAUCUUUGUUGUACAUUACUCAUGCUUUCGUGGAGCUAAUUUUUCUAUUCCUUUUGAUAUAGGAUCACACAUCCACUAUUUAACCUAAUUGAGACAUGUCUUUCAAAUGCUGACCAAGUUAUUCUCACGAUUCUCAAAAUAAUUGCCUUAAUUUUCAAAGAAGGCUUCAACUUGAUCACCAAAUGCCCCAGCACUCUAUCUAUUUUCUCAGACGCUUUUUUUUUCUAACUUUAACCCUCUGAUUUAAUGCUCAUGCUUAAACUGGAUUUUAAGAUCUGGUUGAAAAUUUCACUAGCAUGUCAUAUCACUAGAGUCAAAUAAAAUGUACUAUGUAAAGAAAACAAACAAACAACACAUAUUUAAAUCACAAAUGAAAAUGGGACACUUCAUUUAGUUGAAACAAAAAAUAGAAGGGUUUGAACAUAAAUGACAAAAGGACAAAACAAGAUAGAUCCCGAACUACAACCCUGAAAUAAUUCGGAUAACAGAAAAUAAAACAAAAUAAACUACCAGACCUUUUCCUAGUAGGGAGGGGUGACUUUUCAAUUGCUCAGCCUGACAUCUUAGCCAUUGGUUUGCAUAUCAGCAUGACUAGAGCUUUUCUUACUGUCAAUGUUCUACACCAUAAUUGAUUUAUCUUGAAUCAUUUUUUUAAUUUCUCUUUCAAAGCACGACAAUCUUCAAUACUGCGACCCUGAACAUCAGAAUGAUAUGCACAUCGUACAUUAGGAUCAAAACUUCUUGCAUGUGGGUCAGGAGUAUACCCAAGGAGAGAAGUAAUCAUGCCUUGUUGUACCAAUAUCUAGAAUAAAUUGGCAUAGGAUUUCCCAAUAAGAGUGAAAUUGUCUUUUUCCUUCUUCCUCUUUGCGAACUUUAGCCUCAGAUGAAACUUGACUUUAGAGGUUCCUUGGAAAAUUUGUGGGGGUCGAGGACGAUGUUGAGGGACAGGUGCAUGCCAUUGUGGAUAAGAAGAUAGAUGAGUAUACAAUUAUGCAUUGUUCAAAGGAUAUUGAGGAAGUGGAAUGGGAUUUCUUGGAUUUUGGGGAAAGAAACCUUGUUGCAAGUGGUUAUGUGGAUCUAAUAUGUAAGAUCGGGAUUGAGGCUGACAGUAUUGGUGGGUUGGACCUCUUUAACUCUGCUUUGGCCCUGGCAUGACAAUAGGUGUAUUUUCCUUCUUCUUUCCUUUAGGUUCCCUUGGUUGAUUGCAAUGUCGUCCCAAAUGUUUCACAGAAUCCUUCUGUCCAUCAGGCUCCCCAAAUUUUGAUGUCUGAAAGCUGGAAGGAAGGUUAACACUUGAAGACAUGCCUCAAUUUUUAUCUGAAACAUCUUCGUAGCCAAUAAGUCCAGGGGAAUUUUUCAUAUCAUUUUUUACACUCUUAACUUUCCCAACCACUUUCUCUAGCUCUUCUCGCAUGCUAGGCUUCUUAGUAAGAAAUUUUGGCAGUCCACUUAAUUUAACGGUAGGCUCAAGAGUAUAACAAUGAUCAUCAAGAGUAUUGAACGUGGAUUCACUAGUAGACUAGGGAAGCACAAUCGUUGGAUUGAUAGCCAAAGUAGAAGUCUUAGUAGAAGGUUGAGCAACAAAAGCACUGACUGUAUGUGGUGCUAUGAAUGUGGUUGACUUAUACUGAGGAGCUAAAGAAAGAGUGGUGGAAGUAUUGAGGUGCAUUUGACGUGGAAUGGAUUUUGAGGCAUGCUGUGGUGCAUCAACAACAGUUGGAAACUGACUUUGCAAUUUUGGUGGAAUACUCAAGGUAUUUGCAAGGUCAAAAGUGGGGAACGGAGGUGGAGGCAGCCCACUGGCCCAAACUCGGUACAUUUUCAUCAUUUGUUGUCUCAGUCUCAAAUUUCCUUCCUUUAAACUCUCAAUUUUCUGACUCUUUGUUUCAUACGUGGUGUCACUCUCUAUAUCCUUGUUGGACACAACUAAACCUUUCUUGGAUUUGCUGUGAUAUGGAGGACCAGCCAGGAAGCCACAAACCAACCACCUUAAACUAACUGAACAAGAGACAACAAAUAUGUUAGAGGUCAACAUUUUUCAAAACCUCUCUUUUUUUUUUUAAAAGAUCACCGAACCCAAGAAGGGCGCCUACGUAUCUCACUCCCGAGAGAGGAGAAUCAGGUGUGCAUAGUUCGUGAAGUCUUGCCAAAAUGGCCAAUUAAACUCUUUUCCUUUUUCUUUUUUUUUUCUUUAAAUUUUAAGAAGAAAAGAAAAAUGACAAAUUGUCAAAAGAAUAGACAACAUUUUUUUUUGAAAUUUUUAGUUUUAAUAACCUAUACAAAAUGAAACCUAUGAUUAUCAAAGAAACUCUUUUUUUGGGUUUUCAAUUUUGCAUUUCAUACGAAAAUGAAACUUGAACCUAUUAAAGGAAUUUUUUUUUGUAGUUUUCUUUUAUUGAUGCAUAGACACCUACUCUAAAUGAAGCGUGAAAAAAAUAUUUUUUUGAAUUUUUUGAAAUAAGAUCCCCGAACCAACAAUAGCCUUUCUACGUAUCUUACUCCGGAAAGAGGAGAAUCAGGGGUGCGUAGUUCGUCCAGAUUGGACAAUUAAGGAUUACUUAACAAACUACACCAAACUUGAGAGACACAACCAAAGACUAACGAUGAAAAAUGUCAAUAAAAUCUUUUUUGGAGUUUUCAGCUUGACACUUCAAAUAAAAAUGACACCAACAAUUAUAAAAUGAAAAAAAUCUUUUUGGUAUUUUCAUUACAAUGAAAUGUACAAAUUUCUACCAUUUUUUGCAUUUUCUUUUAUAAAAACUGCUAAAAAAUCUUUUUUAAAAAUUACGAAUUAUGAAUGCAUGCUAAAAGAGACAAAGUGAGAAAUUUUUUUUGAUGUUUUGAUUUUUGAACAAAUGAGUGCAGAAAAUAAAAAAUCUUUUUGAAUUUUUGAAUUGUGAAAAACAAAGGCCAUAAGGAACUCUAAAACUACAAAACUCUUUUUUUUUCUUUUCGACUCACUUUUCUUCCUUCUUUUUUUUUCAACAAUUUCUUGCCUACACACUUUGCUUCUAACUUAUGCUUUUGCCCAAAUCAAUCUGUCAAAUGAUCUCAUUACCCUCAAAGAUGCAACAUUUAGCAUGUAGGGAUGCCUUAGAGGUGAAUUUCCUACAAAGGACCAAGUGGGUCCUGCUAGGUCUCCAAUAUGAUACACCUAAGCAUGACCUAAAGGCCGACCUACGUUGGGGUUCACUAACAAGGCUGUUCGGGGGAGCGUAUGGUCGAUAGUGGCUUUUUUGCUUUCCACCUACUCCAUAACACCAACGGCUCNNNNNNNNNNNNNNNNNNNNNNNNNNNNNNNNNNNGUCGUCUAUAACACGUGUACUACGGACUUGUUGCAGAAAGAAUAACUCAGGUUAUACACAUGAUGCCAGAUAUAAAGCAGUAACACAUAAGAUAAAACUGUAAACAAAAAGCACGUAGACACUCAACAAUGAUAAACAAUAACACAAAACAACACAAACAAUGUCUAUACACCCAUAAUAUCAAACAAAGCUGAUACAACUCAAAAAAAUUAGCUCAAAUUCUGAAAAUCCCUAGCAGAGUCGCCAGAGCUGUCAUACCCCUUUUUCAACUCCAAAAGAAUUAUUUUUAUGGGCUUCGAAAGGGUUUUCAUUAUUAAAGUGACAAAAUGAAGAUAAUUUGUUUCGUAAAGGACCUUUUACAUUCAAAACUCAGAGCGCCACUUGGCAUAAUCUGGUGUGCCAAGUCACUAUUGGAAAAUCCUUUUCAAAACCAUUUGACUCUUUAAAAUGGUUUGCGAACAGAGAUUUCGGCUAAGGAAUUCUGUUGACCGAGGGGAAGGUGUUAGGCACCCCUCGAUCCCGUGGUUCGACCAUGGUCGCUUGGUGGAGCGUAUCGACUAAUUUUGACACUACGAAUGUACAAACCACACAAAACACGUAAAACAAUCAAACAAACAAACAAAACAAAACAAAAAAAUGAUUCAAAAGUACAGCGUCCUGUCCAAUUUUUACAGUCCAAAAUAGAAAAAUGCAAAAAUAAAUCUUAUCUAACCUACACUAAUACUAACUACGCUCCCGUGCUUUACCCGACGAUUCAGGCCUUCCUCACGAACGUCUUCCGCUAACAUAGUACGUCGGGGCAUUCCCCAGUGAAUAAAUACAUUGUGUCUCGGGGCAUUCCCCGGCUAACUAAAUACAUUUGAAUUAAACAUGAUAAACUAGAAACCAAACAUUCACACGCACAUUAAACAUUCAACACAUUUAAUAAACACAUCACUCCUAAGUUUUGCCUACCCAAACCGACAUUUGCCUAUCCAUUUCAACAUAUUAUAAUUCUAUCACAUUCCAACAAUAUUCAUGCUCAUUACGAAUUAAACAAAACAACAAUAAACCAAAGUUAAUCUAAAUUCAAUUUUUUAUCAAUUUCUCAAUUCCAUCCCCAAACAAUCAAUUUCAAUUCUCAAACGAGAUACCAUUUCACCAAAACAUAAUCAAGCAAACCAACCACGAGUCAAAAUAAACACGCAUUCAUCACCAACAAGGACCAAAUAACACGCAAUAUUCAAUCCAACAUCAAAUAUAAUAAAUAAUGAAAUAAAAAGAGAAACAGAGUAGAAUUGGACCUCAAUUUGAAGCUUUCAAACUCAAUGUAAUUCGAAUAAAGAGAGUCCGCACCCGAAAACCUCGAGCCGAACCUUAACACCAACAAUCCAACUCGACAAUGUGAAAUAAUGACCCAUUCACCGUCACUGUUCAUUGACAUUGUUCAUGUCGUUACUGUUCACGUCGUUAUUGUUCACUCCGUUACUGUUCACUUCAUUACUGUUCACUUCGUUACUGUUCACACUAUUACUGUUCACCAACACUGUUUACGCCGGAUUCCCAUUGUCCAGACCCUUUUUCUCUCUCAAUUUUUUUUCUCUUGCGCGAUUCUCUCUUUCUCUCCCUCAUUUUUUUUUUGUUCUUGUGAGAAAGAUGAUUUGGUGAUUGUUGUUAUUGUAGAGAAAAUGAUGAUGAAAGAAUGAGCCUCCCCCUUUUUCCCUUUUAGAAUUUUUCUUUUAUAUUUUUUAUUUGAUUUUUCUUUUCCUUUUUUUAUUAUCCUAUGUGGAAGCAUAUAAUUGGUGGCUUGUGGGAAUAAGUGUGUGGCAUGUGGGAAAGUUAGUGUGGCAUGUGGAAAGAUGAGGGUGGCGUGUGGAAAAAUGAGUAGGGCGUGUGCCUUUUGCAUGUAUCCAAUGAAAAAUGGCAAGUUAGGUGUUGAGGUGACAUAGUGAGGUGACAAAGAUGCUAUGUAUUUAAUUAUUUUCAAUUCUUUUUUUUUUGGGAGAAAUUAUCAAUUAAACAAAAGUACGGUAAGGUGAAUAAAAUAAAAAUUAAAAUUAAAAAUUAAAAAAAUAAAAUAAAAUAAAAAAGAUGAAAAUAUUUUCAGAAAAGGACAAAAUUACGUAUCUACAGACAUGACUCAAAAUAAAAGGUUUGAAGGUCGAAAAUUAUAUUAAGGUUGACAAGUAGCAGGCUAAAGUGUAUCUAUCUGUUCCUUUAUUAGUACUACUAGUCAAGCAUACGUGCGUUGCACGUGUGUUUCAUGUCAAGCCAUCAAUUAUAUAGAAACUACAACAAAAUAAUUGAUAAUUGAAAUAUUAGAACAAUACAAUUAAGUUUGAUCUUUGGUGAUUUGUAAACAACAUCUUUAAAGCUCAUCAAAAAACUAGUUAUAAAAAUAUUUGUUCCACCAAAUUUACCUUGUAAAUGCUUUUAUAUUAUUAUAGAAAGAAAGAGUCCUCAAUUUGUAGAAGUUCAAACUAUCGUCCAAAAAAAAUUAACUAAUAUGAAACAUUUUUAUCUGGGGUGCACUCAUAAAAUUUUUCUAAUAAUAUUAUAAUAUAAAAAUAAUAAAGAUACCCAAAUAUAGCAAAAAUCCUGCACGUCUGAACAAUAAUAUACUAUUAAUAUUUUUUAUUAUGUCAAAAAAAAAUAGAGGCCUAAUACUAUCAAAUUUUGAAGCAAAAAAAAUUUCGGGCUUUAGUUAUUUUCCUUGUUUUAAUUUAUUAAAAAAAAGGCUGCUAUUAAAUUUUGUUAUUUUAAUUUUGAUAAAAAUCAUCUUAUUUUUCUUUUUUUUCCUCUUAUUUUGUAUUUAGGAAUCCUUUCUCAAGUACACAAGAAGAAAAAAAAACUCAUCAAUAAUAAAUUUUCUUAUAUUUUUUCUUACCGUAUAUUUUAGGAUUUCUUUAUUUAUUAUAAAUAUAAUAAUAUAAUGAUUGAAUAAAAUAAGUGAAAAGACAAUUUUAUCUAUUGUGGAGAUUUUUAAUGAAGGGUAAAAAAUUCAAAUCACUUUUCUAAGGGUCUUUACACUUUUAUUAUAGUAUAGAUUAUAGAUAUAGAUAAUAAAUUAUAGAUAUAGAUAGAGAUUAUAGAUAUAGAUAUUGCGGAAAUUUUUAAUGAAGGGUAAAAAAUUUUAAUAUCUUCACAUUUUUAAUAUAUUAUUAUUAUUAUAGAUAUAGAUGCUUUCGAUUUUAUUACUACGGUUAUUUCUUUUACUAUGAUUAUAUUUAUAUUUGUACUUUUUAUAUUUUUCUUUCUUUAAUAUUUUCCUUAUGCAUAGUACUAUAUAAUUGGAUAAUUCUUAAUUUAGAUGUGAUAUUUUGUGGAUCAGAAUUUGUUGGGUCUUAGGACACGUUUGGUUCAUGUUAUAAUUAUAUUAUACUGUUUUUUUUAUAUAUAAGGGGGUUACAUAAAUUUUGUCUAUUUUAUCUAUCAAUUUUUUGUUUUUUCAGAUGAAUCAAAUUGCUCCACCUAACUAUUGUAUUGCCUUUUGUCUAUUUUAGCUUUUAUACUAAUUUUUUUUUUUAAAGAAAGUUCAAUGUGAGCCUCUGUCAUUGGUAUAUUGACGUUGCAGUAAUUUUGUGGGUCUUUUUUUUUUUUCACUUACUUUAGGUGGUCCUCUUUAGAUAGAUUUACUUUACGUGUUUUCAUAAAAAUUGAAUAUCUGCAUAUUUGACUUAAAAUAAAUUCAAAAUUUUUAUAUGAGCUGAAUUAGGCGGGUCAAAUGAAGUAUAGCACACAAAUAACUAUUAUAUUACCUUUUGUCUAUUUCAUCUUUUACACUAAAUUUCUUUUUUAAGAAAGUUCAUUCAAACGUGAACCUCUGUCAUUGAUAUAUUGACGCUGUAGUAAUUUUUGUGGGUCUUUUUUUUUUUCACUUACUUUAGAUGGUCUUCUUUGGAUAGAUUUACUUGAAGUGUUUUUAUCAAAAUCGGAUAUCUGUACACUUGACUUAAAGUAAAUUUAAAUUUUUUAUUAGAAUUGAUUUAGACGGAUCAAAUGGAGUAAAGCACACGAAUAACUAUUAUAUUGCCUUUUGUCUUUUUAGCUUUUACACUAAUUUUUUUUUUUUAAAAAAGUUCAUUCAAACGUGAGCCUCUAUCAUUGGUAUAUUGACGAUGUAGAAAUUUUUGUGUGUCUUUUUUCUUCGCUUACUUUAGAUGGUCCUCUUUGAAUAGAUUUACUUGAAGUGUUUUUAUCAAAAUCGGAUAACUGUACACUUGACUCAAAGUAAAUUUAAAUUUUUUAUUAGAAUUGAUUUAAACAGGUCAAAUGGAACAAAGCACACGAAUAAUUAUUAUAUUCCCUUUUUUCUUUUUUAGCUUUUACACUAAUUUUUUUUUUUUUUUAAGAAAGUUCAUUCAAACUUGAACCUCUAUCAUUGAUAUAUUUACAUUGCGGUCAUUUUUGUGGGUCAUUAUUUUCACUUAGUCUAAGUGAUCCUCUUUGAAUAGAUUUAUCAAAAUCUAAUAUUCAUGCACUUACUAUAAGUGGUAUAUAUAUUGACAUUGUAGUCAUUUUUGUGGGUCAUUUUUUUUUUUCACUUUUUCUAAGUGGUCCUCUUUGGAUAGAUUUAUUUUAGGUGUUUUUAUCAAAACCGAAUAUCUAUGCUUUAUCAAAAUCGAAUAUCUAUGCACUUACUCUAAGUGGUUUAUAUAUUGACAUCGUAAUCAUUUUUGUGGGUCUUUUUUUUUUCCACUUACUCUAUGUGGUGCUUUUUAAAUAGAUUUAUUUUAGGUGUUUUUAUUAAAAUCGAAUAAUUUAUGCACUUGACUUUAAAUAAAUUCAAAUUUUUUAUAUAUGCUGAAUUGGACGGGUCAAAUGGGACAAAGCACUCAAAUAACCUACUUUUGGGGUCAUCAUUUAACUUGUAUUCGUUUAUUAGAAUUUUUACAAGUUUAGCCACUUUAGAAAUAAUUUCAAAUGUACUUGACUGAAAUUAAAAAUUUGUGUCUGACUUCAGAAAUUUGUUUGAAGUUUUGCCGGCUUUAUGAGGAUGAAAUAUAAUUAAGAUAUUUUUGUCUGAAGUUUGGAAUGGCUUGUAAGGCUGAUUUCGUAUAUUUUUAAUAUAAGUUGUGGAUUUGACAAGGCCUAAUUCAGAUAUAUUUUAGCGAAGCCUUAUCUGGCUUGACAAGUCUUAACAUCAAUUUUUUUUUUUUUCUGAAGAUAUGGUCUUGACAAGGUCAACUUUUAGAUAUUUUUUAUUAAAGUUGUUAGGAGGGUGAAACUUCAAUCAUACAUGACUGAUGUGAAUGUUAAAAACUAAAAAUUAUUUAAAGUUAAACUUCAAUCGAGUAUAUCUAAAACUCUGAAUAUUUUUCUCAUUGGCGCUCUUCUAUUUAUGAAUUGGCGUGAUAUGCAAACGAAGAAAAUUGAAUUACAGAUGUGAAGGUAAAAUAGAAAGUACAGAUCUAACAAAUUUAAUAGUUUUAGUUCAAAUUUUAUAUUUUCGUUAUAUAUAUAUAUAUUAAUUUAAAACCUAAAAACUCCAAAGGUUUAGAAUCUAAAAUUCAUAAAAUUUCAAAUUUUGAAUUCUUUUUCUUUUAUUGAAGUCAUUGAUGACAUCAAGAAUAAUAAAAUAAAACGUGUCCUUUUAAGGUUUCUUUUUCACUUUUCCUUUCCAAAAAUGCUUGUUUAACAUCAACAUUUAUAUCUAGCUAUAUAUAUAUAUAUAUACAAGAACAUGCAUGUGUGAAGAAAAUUAAACAUUAUUAAUUAUCAUUAUUAUCCAAAAUGGCAACAUCAUUCCCUAUGAAUGCUGGUGAUGGUCCUUAUAGCUACUCAAAAAACUCCCAUUUGCAGGUAAUUGUUUCUACUUUUAAGGGAUCGUUUGGUAGAGUGCGUAAAAAUAGGGUUGAAUAUGGUGUAUUAGUAAUGUUGAUAUUAGUAAUAUCGAUGUUUCUUUAUUUGUGUAAUCGGGUAGAGGGUUAGGGGUGGGAGCGUUUCUUUAUUUGUGUUUGACGUUUCUUGUUCGUGGGUGUUGAGUGAUGUCUAUGUUUUCGGUUAGAUAGUCUUUUAGCAGUAUCUAGUGGCUGUUGUGUUACCUUGUGGAUACCGGUGUUAGUUUAUUUUGCAUAUUCUACUAAUCUAUACGCAUUUAUAUUUUGUGAUUUGCUAUACUGUUAUCGGUCCUAAGCCGGAGGUCUAUCGGAAACAGCCUCUCUACUUCUUCGAAGGUAGUGGUAUGGUCUGCGUACACUCUACCCUCCCUAGACCCUACUAUGUGGGAAUAAACUGGAUAUGUUGUUGUAGUAUGCACUGUUUGGUUCGGAAUAUUAAAAGUAACAUACAUUGUAUAGGUAUAAUAUAUGAACGUGUCCUUUAACUUGACUUCAACAGGGAUAAUCUAACACCAUCCAACUUUGGGUAUGCACAAGUAGACACUUAGGGGUCGUUCGGUGGGAGGGAUAAGGAUAAAUAAUCUCUCGAUUAAUUUAGAAGAGGAGCUUAUUCCAUGUUUGGUUGGGACAAAAUACAUGGGCGUUAACUCAUCCCAGGAUUAAUCAUCCCGAUAUUGUAAUGUUUUUUCUUAUUCCUUCAUGAGGAUGGGAUAACUAAUUUCGGGAUUAGUAAUCCAGGGAUAACUUGUUUUCCAACCAAACGACCCCUUAAAGUUGUAGGCACAAUUAAAAAAGUACCCCAAACAAGGUAUUAAUAUACCCAUAGCUGAUGAAUGCAGGAUUUUUUUCUAAUGCAUCCGACCAAACGAUCCCUAAGUAUUUACUCUAAAUACUUAUCUUUUCCAUAGAUCCCAAACUCAAGAUAAAAGUAUUUGAAAAAAAAAGAGCAAACAACAUAAAUCCCGACAGUUUUGAGCUUAAUUACAGAAAAUUCUAACAUUUUACAUAAUUACUGAAAAUUCUGAUUUUGAGUCUUUCAAGAUACAUAAUUAGCUCCUGAUACAUCUAACGAAAAUACAUUUUUUUUACUUUGUAAAGAUACAUAAUUAGCUUCAGAUACUUUUUUUUUUUCAAUUUUGAAUCUGUCAACAUACAUAAUUAGUUCUCUGAUACAUUCAACGAACAUACAUAAUUAGUUGAGAUUUUUUGUAAUUACUUUAUAAAGAUGAAAAAUUGUGUAAAUAUGAUAAGUUAAAGGUGUAUAUAUCUUUUGGUAUACCUCAUCUAGUAUACAUGCAUAACUUUAUACCGAAAAAUAAUUUUUGGUGUCAUACUAAAGUAACUGAACUUUUUCAUCUAUAAUAAUAGAAUCACUAAACUUUACUGUCAAAUGUGACUUUACUGUUAUAAUUGCAUGCAGAAAGAACUGUUAGAUAGUGCAAAAGACAUCAAAAUCAUGUCUUCUUCUUCAAAUACAUUACACAUUGCAGAUUUGGGAUGUUCAGUUGGACCAAACACUUUCAUUGCAAUGCAACAUGUUGUACAAGUUCUAAGAGCUGUUUUAGAAGUACUUUUCGUCAAUCAUUUUGGAAGUGAAAUAGCAGAAGAAGCUUUUACAAGGACGAUUCUCAAAAGUGAUGAAAUUUCAAUAUGGAUGAAAACGAAUUACCAGAAAGCAUGUCAGUUAUUUGUCGCUUUGAAGCGUAAAUAAGUUUCUGUGAAGAAAUCUAUAUAGUAUAUAAUUUCAGGUCUAUUGAGUGAUGUGACACGUUUCAUAGACAGAAAUUAUUAUUUGUGUGUUUUCUAAUAUUUUUGACCUUUUCAUCGUAUCUUUCACUUAAUGUGUUCUACAAAGAAAAUUGAAAAGUUUAUUUAUUAAUGUUUUAGAUAUCCUUAGCAGUUUAGUUUUAUUAACCCAUUUUACUCCAAUUGUCAAUAUAUGAUAUAAUUCAGGUCUAUGGAGAGAUAAUUAUGGCAAGUUUCACCAACAUGGGUUGUGGUGCAGUGGAUGAGGCUGCUCUACCCUUAACCAGAGGUCGAGGGUUCGACCCUGGGUAUGGAGAAAACUCUGUUGGGAGCGCUGCCACCUUAAUGUGCCCUUCAACGCACGAUCCAAAUUAGUCGAGGCUCCAAUGGAGGCACCAAACAUCGGAUGGGAAACCAAAAAAAAAACUAUGGCACGUUUCAUAUGUCUCGAAUAUCAAAAAAUAGAUAAAUAAAAAUAUUUCAAUAACGAAAUUCUAGAACAUAAAAUAAUAUUAUCAAAUUGGACAAAUAUUAUUGCGCAUUUUUAUUUUUAAUAACAUAAAUAAGUAAAUAUGAACGGACAGAAUAACAUAAUUAAUUGGGCCAAUGCUUGCCAAUAUUUCUAUAAAAUCAACAUUGAUUGGGACGAUUAAACACAUACAUAUAUAGAAACUAUAUUAUUGAGGUACCUUUUGCCACUAUAUUAUUUCUAUAAUAUAUAUAAGAGGGAGGUUGGGUGCUGAAGCAGAUCGACAUGCCUGCUUCAGCAGUCAGCUUCAGCUGCUUCAACCGUGUUUUUAUAAAUAAUUCUCUUAUUUAUAAGAGGCAGUUGAGCAGCUGAAGCAGGCAGGAGGUCGAUAUGCCUACUUCAGCUGCUUCACCUGUAAUUUUACUAUAUCACCCCUCAAUUAAUUAUUAUAAAUUAUCUAUGUAUUAAAAAAUUAAUAAUAUUUAAUAAAAAAUUAAAAUAGACAUUUAUGAUAUAUCUGCUUCAGCCGGUUCUGUCACACCCCUUUUUUAACCGAAAAAAAGAUUAUGUAUUGGGUUCGAAAGGGUUUUUAUUAUUAAGUGACAAAAGAAAACAAUUUGUUUCGAAGAAGGAUUGUUUUUACAUUUGAAAUCAGAGUCUCCACUUGGCAUAAUCUGGUGUGCCAAGUCACCAUUGGAAAGUCCUUUUCAAAACCAUUUGACUCUUUAAACUGGUUUGCGAACAGAGAUUCCGGCUAAGGAAUUCUGUUGACCAAGGGGAAGGUGUUAGGCACCCCUCGAUCCCGUGGUUCAACCAUGGUCGCUUGGUGGAACAUAUCGACUAAUUCGACGCUAAGAGUGUAUAAACCACACAAAAACAUACAAACCAAUCAAUCAAACAAACAAACAAACAAACAAACAAAUCCAAAAUUAUAGUGUUCAGUCCAAUUAUUACAAUCCAAAAAUAGAAAAAUACGAAAAAUAUAAAUCCUAUUCUAAGCUAGUCCUAGACUAAGCUCCAAUGUUUCACCCGAUGCCUCGGGCCUUGAUCGAUAUCCGCCUUCGCCAACAUGAUACGUCGGGGCAUUCCCCUGUGAAUAAAUACAUCAAUCUUCGGGGCAUUCUCCGGCCAAAUUAAUACACUUCAAUCCAAAAACAUAAACCAACACAUUUCAACAAAACACCCUCAAGUUUCAACGAUCGCAAGUCAUAAACUUUGCCUAACCCACUUAUAUUUGCCUAUCAAUGGUCGACCUAAACAUGAUACUACCAUUUUUCAACAACAUCUAUGCUUAUUCCGAACUAGACUACAUAUCACGUUCAAUGUCAACGAUUAAUUAAAACAACAAUAUUCAUUUUUAUCAACUUUCAAUUCCCGUUUUGCCCAAUUCCAUUGUCAAACUAGCUAACCAACUCUUCGACUAUCAAAUCCAACAUCAACCACGUACACACAACAAAGAUUCAAAUAUGCUAACCAAACAAGUUAUUCACACCCAUAACAAACAACUAAAAUUCAAAAAUAGAAUAGAGAAUGAGAUGAGAAAUGGACCUCAAUGCUUUAUUGAUUAACUGAUCUUUCCGAAUAGAACCGCGUCCAACGGAACUCAACGUCGAACCUCAAAACGACGGAACCGCAUCUCGGACUAGCCUCGGUAUGAACCCACAACUUGAACAAAAAUCCAAACCAGAGUCGAAUGCCGACCACCAGAAUCCAAACCCAAUUUCCGGUAGAAAACUGAAAACGCGUAUAAAAUUGAACCCUGAUGAGCUACCAGCUAGAUUUCAUCCAGAAAUCAAGAAGACCGAGAAGAUCUAGGGAAUUUUAGGAUGGAUCAGGCCGAGACGAUAAGCUUGACGUCAAUUUCAGUGAGAUUUCACCGAAAUCCAAAGAGAAACGAUCGAACGAGGAAUGGAAAACUAAUUCCGACGAGCUAAGUCGCCGAAACAGUGACCAACGACUUGAAAUCUUCACUCUCUCUCUUGAUUUUUCACCCUCUCUACUUGAUCAAUCCCUUACCCCACUGUAUCUUGCGAAAAAAAUAAAGAACAGAAGAAAAGAAAUGGUAUUUUUCUCUUUCUCGUUCUCUCUCUGCUACUCUCUCUCUUAUCGAUCUAUUCUCUUUUCUCUGUGUUUGUGUCUAUGAGAUGCUGUGAGGUGUGUGGUCCUUGUGGGAGUAAUGAUGGGUUUGCGAUGGAGAAGAAAAGGAGAGGAUAAUCUGCUCUCAAAAAUGGCAUUUUUGAAGCCAGACCCAGGAAGGAAAAAAAUAGUUCUUUUCGGGAGUUAAAGAAUGAUGAUAAUGGGUGUGAUUAUCAUCCCGUGGAUGUUCUAUUGUAUGAAUUCUAUGCAUUCUCCAUGGAUGAAUCCAAAAUGGAAUCCCUGUGUGCAUUGUAUAUAAUGAAAAAAAGAAUUCCCCCUUCUAUUCUGGGUGUGUAUGGAAUAUAUGUAUAUUGUGUAGGUGAUGUGUAAAUGAUGGUCAAGAAGAUAUAACGUAGGGCCCUCCAUUUUUGUUGUUUUCUUCUCCAAGGGAUAAAAAAUGUGAGUGGGUAGUGAGGUGGAAGCUUUUGAUUGGGUAGGUUGUUAGGAUAAGAUAAAUUAGUUAGAGGUAUUUUUUUUGUUUAUUUUUAUAUUUUUAUGGGAUAUAAUUACAUGGGGUUGGAAACAUGGUAAGGUGAACUAAAAAUGAAUAAAAUUAGACUUCGGGAGGGAUAAAAUUAGGUGUCUACAUCAUGCCCCUUUUGAAUGUAAACACGAACUGUUUUCAGACAAAGAAGUAUACAGCGAGAUCAAAUUUUGACCCGACCAUUAUCCAAAGAAAGAAACAAAAGGAAGAAGGACAACCGGGUCUUGACUUAAGACAUCCUACCUACCCAAGUUAUGAGAGAAUCAAGUCACGGGUAUUUCAUAAGAUUGGAAAGAGAUGGACUAUACCAAGUUGGAGAGUCGAGUGAGGUUCCAUCGAGGUUCUGGUCCACGGCUCUGUCAUUACAUUAAAAAUGAAAAUUACAAGUUAAAGCAUAAAUGAAAUUACAAAAAUCCUAUUUCAUUAACUUAUUGCCAUGCUUUCAACUUCUUCACCCUGUUCUGCAAGCGGGCUCCUGACUUGCUAUUUUUCAAUCUGUUUAACUUUCAAUUUCUUCACCUUGUUGCUUAAUUUUUCAUUUAUUCGCUCUGUGCUUCGGGCAGGCUCCUGAAAUCACAUCAAAACUAAAAAGAAAAUUAUCCCAAACAAAUAUUAUUAUAAAGAGAAAUUCCGUUUGCCAGAAAACUAAAGUUUCAAAAACAGAAAUUAAAUUUUUUUUUCCAAGUUUAUCAUCAGAAGACUUUUGGAAAAGUCACAUCAUACUUACUUGCAUGUUACAAUGAUAAAUCAAGACUCUGACCAAGAAAUGCAUCGCUUGAGAGUAAAAUUGAAUAACCAAGACUAGGAAGUGCGUCUCCUAAGAAUUAAAGUGAGGGAUUCUAACUAGAAAGUGCGUCUUCUAGAGAUACAAGUUUAAGUUAAAAAGUGUGCCACCUGACAAAUGAAAACUAGCAAAAAAGUGCAUCUCCAAAGGAUUAAGUGCAAUAAAUUGACUAGAAAGUUCAUUUUCUAGAAAUCAAGGGGACUGCUAGGAAGUGCAUUACGCAAAAGCAAAGUUCGAAUUACCCGAUCAAAGAAAUGUAUCUCCUUACCAAUGUUGCUUGAAUAAUCAAAAUAAGGAAGUGCAUCUCCUUACCAAUGCCACUUGAAUUACCAAACCAAGGAAGUGCGUCUCUUUACCAAUGCCACUUGAAUUACUCAAACAAGGAAGUGCGUCUUCUCACAAAUGUUUCUUGAAUUAACCAAACAAGGAAGUGCAUCUCCUUACAAAUGUUGCUUAAAUUGCCCAAGGAAGGAAGUGUGUCUCCAAUGUUGCUUGAAUUACCAAAACAAGAAAGUGCGUCUCCUUUGGAAGUGUGUCUCCUUACGAUAGCGCUUGAAUUACCAAAAUAAGGAAGUGUGUCUCUUUACAAAUGUUGCUUGAAUUGUCCAAACAAGGAAGUGCAUCCCCUUGCAAAUGUUGCUGGAAUUACCCAAACAAGAAAGCGCGUCUCCUCACAAAUGUUGCUGGAAUUACCAAACAAGGAAGUGUGUCUCCUUACAAAUGUCAAUCAAAUUACCAAACAAGGAAGUGAGUCUCCUUACAAAUGUUGCUUAAAUUAUCAAACAAGAAAGUGCGUCUCCUUACAAAUGUUGCUUAAAUUAUCAAAACAAGGAAGUGCAUCUCCUUACCAAUACCGCUUGAAUUACCAAACCAAGGAAGUGCGUCUCCUUACCAAUGCCGCUUGAAUUAUUCAAACAACGAAGUGCGUCUCCUCACAAAUAUUUUUUGAAUUAACCAAACAAGGAAGUGCAUCUCCUUACAAAUGUUGCUUGAAUUGUCCAAACAAGGAAGUGCGUCCCCUUACAAAUGUUGCUGGAAUUACCCAAACAAGGAAGUGCGUCUCCUAACAAAUGUUACUGGAAUUACCCGAACAAGGAAGUGCGUCUCCUUACAAAUGUCAAUCAAAUUACCAAACAAGGAAGUGCAUCUCCUUACAAAUGUUGCUUGAAUUGUCCAAACAAGGAAGUGCGUCCCCUUACAAAUGUUGCUGGAAUUACCCAAACAAGGAAGUGCGUCUCCUAACAAAUGUUACUGGAAUUACCCGAACAAGGAAGUGCGUCUCCUUACAAAUGUCAAUCAAAUUACCAAACAAGGAAGUGCAUCUCCUUAUAAAUGUUGCUUGAAUUUUCCACACAAGGAAGUGCAUCUCCUUACAAAUACCGCUUGAAUUACCAAACAAGAAAGUGUGUUUCCUCACAAAUGUUGCUGGAUUUACCAAAUAAGGAAGUGCGUUUCCUUACAAAUAUUGCUGGAAUUACCCAAACAAGGAAGUGCGUCUCUUUACAAAUGUUGCUAGAAUUACCAAAACAAGAAAAUGUGUCUCCUUACAAAUGUCGCUUGAAUUACCAUGAGUUUGAAUACCAAAUAUGUGCAGCAACAUUACCUCUUGCAUUUGUAGAAGUGAGAAUAUUACGGCCCUUGAUAUUUAGGCUUUGAAAUCCUUGAUUCGAAGGUAGCAUGUGUUCCUAUUUCAUACAAAGAAAACUUGUUAGUUUAAAAAUAUGGUGGUUGGUUUGUGGCUUAGCUUUCACGGCAAUCGCUUUUGCCCCCUUCACAUUUAACCUUGCUUCCAACCAUUAACAUAGGAUGUUGACUUACUGUAUCAUUGACCCAAACUCAAAUUAUUAAGAGUGACUCUGAAACAAACACAGUAUCUCUGCUUUGCCAUGCUCCUCAAAUAAACCCUUUGAAUCUUAGUAUUUUCAUAAAUUCCCAGACUUGUUUGUUGACAAAAUUUGUAUGCCUUAUUUAGGCUAACAAUCAUGUCUCUUUUAUGUGCUGACUUUUGUCUUGCUUUGUGCAAUUGGAGAAGCUGGUAGCAGUUUUGAAAUAUUUCCUCACUUGUUUUGAUAAGAACUUGACUCAAAGACAAGAAAAAAAAUGACAGUGAUUUUUAUUUGGACAACUGACCCAAGAAAAAUAAAAAUAAAAAUAUAAAGAAGAAAGAAAAGACAAUGAAUGUCCCCAUUUGAAACAAAGAAAUUAAAAAUUUAUCUAAAAAUGACUGUCAACUCUAAUGAUUAUGCCAUGCAUGUUGAAUUAAUCUGCCUGAUCUUUCCAUCCACACCUUCCACCAGUUGUUGUUGGGUUAAUGGUCUUGAAACUGAGUUGUUUCCUUGGGCCAAUUACAUUCGGAGACCUCAUUCGGCUAGUGGCACCUUGAAGGGUUUUCACCAACAAACCUCUCUUAUUUUUCUCUCAUCUCGCCAUCGUCUUAUGGUGCCCGUGAGGGUUUUCACCAAUAAGACUCUCUCAUUUUUAUUUCUCUCAACUUACCAUCGCCUUACGGUGCCCGUGAGAGUUUUCACCAAUAAGACUCUCACUUUUAUUUCUCUCUUAAUUCCUUGUGCUGAGGAAGACAGGUAGUUCCCAAAUACAUCAUCAUAUCUCUUGCAUGCUUUGCCUUAACAUCCCUAAAGAUUGAUCUGAAGGUCUUUCUUUGGUUGUAACUUGNNNNNNNNNNNNNNNNNNNNNNNNNNNNNNNNNNNNNNNNNNNNNNNNNNNNNNNNNNNNNNNNNNNNNNNNNNNNNNNNNNNNNNNNNNNNNNNNNNNNNNNNNNNNNNNNNNNNNUUUUAUUCGCUCUUUUCACUUUGCGAUUCUUUUUUUCUAACUCUAUUUUUCUUGACACUUUUUUUUGAAACAUUUUUGUCUCUUUUUUGUAACUUUUUUACUUUAUCUUUUUACUCGACACUAUUCUUUAAACUUUGCUUACUCUAUCUUGACAUGAAAGAAAAUAACACUAAGGCUCAAAUGGGGUAAACAAAGGAUGACACAAUGUUUGGAUAGCAGAAUGAAAUGCCUUCAUCGUAUCAAUCCUUGAGAAUGCAAGUACAUAACAUGCAAUUGGAAGUGAGAGAUGAAGAUCAUUUUCGACAUCUUUUCAAGAAGAUUGAGUCUGUGCGUCACUACUUUUUCUGUAAACUCCACCUUUGUUGUACAUUCCUCACAUCAAAUGACUCAUGCUUUUGUGGAGCUGCUUAUCUUCUUGCUUCUCUUGAUAUAGUGAUCACACGUCCACUAUUUGACCUAAUUGGGACUUGCCUUUCGAUCGAUGACCAAGUUGUUCUUGUGAUUCUCAAAAUAAUUGCCUUAACUUGUCACCAAAUGUCUCAGCACUCUAUCUAUUGUCUCAUAUGCUCUCUUUUUCUAACUUUAACCCUCUGAUUCAAUGUUCAUGCUUAAACUGGAUUUUAAGAUCUGGCUGAAACUUUCACUAGCAUGUCAUAUCACUAGAGUUAACAUAAAAUGUAUAUGUAAAGAAAACAAACAAACAAACAACACAUAUUUAAAACACAAAGAAAAAUAAGACACUUCAUUUAGUCGAAACAAAAGAUAGAAGGGUUUGAACAUAAUCAACAAAAGGACAAAACAAGAUAGAUCCCGAACUACAAACCUGAAAUAAUUCAGACAACAGAAAAAUAAAACAAAACAAGCUACUAGACCCCUUCCUGGUAAGGAGAUGGGUGAUUUCUCAAUUGCUCAGCCUGACAAAUUAGCCACUGAUUGGCAUAUCAGAGUGACUAGAGCUUCCCUCACUUUUCAGGUUUUGCACCAUAAUUGAUCCAUCUUGAAUCAUCUUUUCAAUUUCUCUUUUCAAAUCUAGACAAUCUUCAAUACUAUGACCCUGAGCAUCAGAAUGAUACGCACAACAUGCAUUAGGAUCAAAAUUUCUUGAACGCCGAUUAAGAGUGUGCCCAAGGAGAGGAGUAAUCAUGCCCCUAUGUCUCAAUCUCUGGAACAGACACGCAUAAGAUUCCCCAAUAGGAGUAAAAUUAUCAUUUUCCUUUCUCAUCAUUGCGAACUCUGGCCUUGGAUGAAACGUGGAUUUAGAGGUUCCUUGGUAAAUUUGUGGGGGUUGAGGAUAAUGUUGAGGGACAGGUGCAUACAUACCAUUGUGGAUAAGAAGACGGAUGGGUAAACAAUUGUGCAUUAUUCAAAGGACAUUGAGGAAGUGGAAUGNNNNNNNNNNNNNNNNNNNNNNNNNNNNNNNNNNNNNNNNNNNNNNNNNNNNNNNNNNNNNNNNNNNNNNNNNNNNNNNNNNNNNNNNNNNNNNNNNNNNNNNNNNNNNNNNNNNNNNNNNNNNNNNNNNNNNNNNNNNNNNNNNNNNNNNNNNNNNNNNNNNNNNNNNNNNNNNNNNNNNNNNNNNNNNNNNNNNNNNNNNNNNNNNNNNNNNNNNNNNNNNNNNNNNNNNNNNNNNNNNNNNNNNNNNNNNNNNNNNNNNNNNNNNNNNNNNNNNNNNNNNNNNNNNNNNNNNNNNNNNNNNNNNNNNNNNNNNNNNNNNNNNNNNNNNNNNNNNNNNNNNNNNNNNNNNNNNNNNNNNNNNNNNNNNNNNNNNNNNNNNNNNNNNNNNNNNNNNNNNNNNNNNNNNNNNNNNNNNNNNNNNNNNNNNNNNNNNNNNNNNNNNNNNNNNNNNNNNNNNNNNNNNNNNNNNNNNNNNNNNNNNNNNNNNNNNNNNNNNNNNNNNNNNNNNNNNNNNNNNNNNNNNNNNNNNNNNNNNNNNNNNNNNNNNNNNNNNNNNNNNNNNNNNNNNNNNNNNNNNNNNNNNNNNNNNNNNNNNNNNNNNNNNNNNNNNNNNNNNNNNNNNNNNNNNNNNNNNNNNNNNNNNNNNNNNNNNNNNNNNNNNNNNNNNNNNNNNNNNNNNNNNNNNNNNNNNNNNNNNNNNNNNNNNNNNNNNNNNNNNNNNNNNNNNNNNNNNNNNNNNNNNNNNNNNNNNNNNNNNNNNNNNNNNNNNNNNNNNNUGAACAAGAGGUAACAAAUAUGUUAGAGUUCAACAUUUUUUCUUCAAAACCUUUUUUUUUUUAGAAAAGAUCACAGAACCCAAGAAGGGCACCUACGUAUCUCACUCUCGAGAGAGGAGAAUCAGGUGUGCAUAGUUCGUGAAGUCUUGCCAAAAUAGCCAAUUAAACUCUUUUUCCUUUUCUUCUUUUACUCUUUUUUUUUUAAACUUUGAGAAGAGAAAAUAACAAAUUGUCAAAAGAAUUGACAAUAAUCUUUUUGAAUUUUUCAACUUUAACAUCUCUAUACAAUAUGAAACCUACGAUUACCAAAGAAAAAUCUUUUUGUAGUUUUCUCUUGAAGAUGUAUAUGAAACACCUACUCUAAAUGAAGAGUGAAUAAUUUUUUUUUUUUUGAAAUAACCCGAACCAACAAUAGGUUGCCUACGUAUCUCGCAUCCCGAAAGAGGAGAAUCAGGGGUGCGUAGUUCGUCCAGAUCGGACAAUUAAUGAUUAAAUAAUAGGCUAGACUCUGCCUUAAGAGAUACGACCAAAGACAGACGAUGAACCAUGUUAAUAAAAUCUUUUGAGUUUUCAUUUUGAUACUUCACAGAAAAAUGACAUCAACAACUAUGAAAGAAAAAUCUUUUUGGUAUUUUCGUUAUACAAAAUGUAAAAAAUUUCUAUUAUACAAAAUGUAAAAAAUUUCUAACAUCUUUUUUUUUUUGCAUUUUUCUUUUAUAAACACAUCUUAUGAAUAAAAAAUCUUUUUGAAGUUUUUGAAUUGUGAAUGCAUGCUAAACGAGACAAAGGAAAAUCUUUUUGAUGUUUUUUGAGAAAAUGAGUGCGAAAGGUAAAAAAGUCCUUUUGAAUUUUGGAAUUGUGAAAAAUAAAAGCCAUAAAAAAAAACUCUAAAAACUACAAAACUUUUUUUUUUCAUUACCCACACACUUUACUUCAAAUGACCAUGUUACCUUCAAAGAUGCAACAUUUAGCACGUAGGGAUGCUUUAGAGACGAUUCUCCUACAAAGGGCCAAGUGGGCCCUGCUAGGUCUUCAAUAUGAUGCACAUAAGCAUAACCCAAAGACUGACCUACGUUGGGGUUCACUAUGGUCGACAGUGGUUGCUUUGCUUUCCACCUACUCCAUAACACCAACGGUUCCCCCCCUAAAAUAAGGGUGACUCAACUAGAGGUCGUGUACAACACGUGUACUACAGACUUGUUGCAGAAAGAAGGCCUGGGGGUUGGGGGUAGACACAUGAUGCCAGAUAUAAAAGCGGUAACAUAUAGGAUAAAUACUGUACAGAAAGAGCAUGAAAACGCACAACAGUGAUAACAAUAACACAAACAAUAAUCACAAACAAUGUUUAUACACCCAUAAUGUCAAACAAAGCCGAUACGACUCCAAAAAUAAGACCGAAUUCUGAAAAGAUCCCCAGCAGAGUAGCCAGAGCUGUCACACCCCUUAUUUAAUCGAAAAAAAGAUUAUGUAUUGGGUUUGAAAGAGUUUUUAUUAUUAAGUGACAAAAGAAAAGGAUUUGUUUUGAAGAAGGAUUGUUUUUACAUUUGAAAUCAGAGUCGCCACUUGGCAUAAUCUGGUGUGCCAAGUCACCAUUGGAAAAUCCUUUUCAAAAUCAUUUGACUCUUUAAACUGGUUUGCGAACAGAGAUUCCAGCUAAGGAAUUCUAUUGACCGAGGGGAAGGUGUUAGACAUCCUUCGAUCCCGUGGUUUGACCACGGUCGCUUGGUGGAGCGUAUCGGUUAAUUUUGACACUAUGAGUGUACAACCCACACAAAACACAUAAAACAAUCAAACAAACAAACAAAACAAAAAGAAUCAAUAGUACAGUGUCCAGUCCAAUUUAUAUGUUCAGUCCAAUUAUUACAAUCCAAAAAUAGAAAAAUGCGAAAAAUAUAAAUCCUAUUCUAAGCUAGUCCUAGACUAAGCUCCAAUGUUUCACCCGAUGCCUCGGGCCUUGAUCGAGAUCCGCCUUCGCCAACAUGAUACGUCGGUACAUUCCCCGGUGAAUAAAUACAUCAAUCUUCGGGGCAUUCCCCGGCCAAAUGAAUACACUUCAAUCCAAAAACAUAAACCAACACAUUUCAACAAAACACCCUCAAUAUUCAACGAUCGCAAGUCAUAAACUUUGCCUAACCCACUUAUAUUUGUCUAUCAAUGGUCGACCUAAACAUGAUACUACUAUUUUUCAACAACAUCCAUGCUUAUUCCGAACUGGACUACAUAUCACGUUCAAUGUCAACGAUUAAUUAAAACAACAAUAUUCAUUUUUAUCAACUUUCAAUUCUCGUUUUUCCCAAUUUCAUUGUCAAACUAGUUAACCAAUUCUUCGACUAUCAAAUCCAAUAUCAACCACGUACACACAAAAAAGAUUCAAAUACGCUAACCAAACAAGUUAUUCACACCCAUAACAAACGACUAAAAUUCCAAAAUAGAAUAGAGAAUGAGAUGAGAAAUGGACCUCAAUGCUUUAUUGAUUAACUGAUCUUUCCGAAUAGAACCGCGUCCAACGGAACUCAACGUCGAACCUCAGACCGACGAAACCGCAUCUCGGACUAGCCUCGAUAUGAACCCACAACUUGAACAAAAAUCCAAACUAGAAUCAAAUGCCGACCACCAGAAUCCAAACCCGAUUUCCGGUAGAAAACUGAAGACGCGUACAAAAUCGAACCCCGAUGAGCUACCAACUAGAUUUCAUCCAGAAAACAAGAAGACCGAGAGGAUCUAGGGAAUUUUAGGAUGGAUCAGGCCGAAACGAUAAGCUUGACGUCGAUUUCAGUGAGAUUUCACCGAAAUCCAAAGAGAAACGAUCGAACGAGGAAUGAAAAACUAAUUCCGACGAUCUAAGUCGCCGGAACAGUGACCAACGACUUGAAAUCUUCACUCUCUCUCUUGAUUUUUCACCCUCUCUACUUGAUCUAUCCCUUACCCCACUGUAUCUUGCGAAAAAAAAUGAAGAACAGAAGAAAAGAAAUGGUAUUUUUCUCUUUCUCGUUCUCUCUCUGCUACUCUCUCUCUUAUCGAUCUAUUCUCUUUUCUCUAUGUGUGUGUCUGUGAGAUGCUGUGAGGUGUGUGGUCCUUGUGGGAGUAAUGAUGGGUUUGCGAUGGAGAAGAAAAGGAGAGGAUAAUCUACUCUCAAAAAUGGCAUUUUUGAAGCCAGACCCAGGAAGGAAAAAAAAAU